RNAcentral lists this ribosomal RNA (253 nucleotides) under uncultured bacterium. Its description in RNAcentral is "partial 16S ribosomal RNA". It matches the Rfam family "Bacterial small subunit ribosomal RNA", at positions 524 to 776 of the family's 1533-position model. The record is from RNAcentral.
UACGUAGGGUGCAAGCGUUGUCCGGAAUUAUUGGGCGUAAAGAGCUCGUAGGCGGUCUGUUGCGUCGGCUGUGAAAACCCGGGGCUCAACCCCGGGCCUGCAGCCGAUACGGGCAGACUAGAGUUCGGCAGGGGAGACUGGAAUUCCUGGUGUAGCGGUGAAAUGCGCAGAUAUCAGGAGGAACACCGGUGGCGAAGGCGGGUCUCUGGACGAUGACUGACGCUGAGACGCGAAAGCGUGGGGAGCAAACAGG